UUUUUUUGUUUGUGUGUUAAUAUUGGGUUUGAGCUAGAGUAAAUUAGUUUGGGUUAGGUUUUGUGAUUGGGUUAAUGGGUAUUUGGGGCUUGGUGUAAUAUGGGCUUGUAAAAAAAUGAGUUUUGUAUUUAUUAUAUUUUUUGUGUUUUAUUAUUUGUUUUUAUUUAUUUUGAUUUUGGGGGGGGGGGUUUGGUUUAUUUAGGCUUGGGCCCAGGCCAAAGUUGGCCUAUUACAAAUACAUUGUAAAUAAUUUCUUUUAACAUCAAUUCAUGUCAUAAUCGAUGCAAAGUAUGAUACACAAUCAAAACCGAGUCUCAGUUGUGA
RNAcentral lists this long non-coding RNA (324 nucleotides) under Gossypium raimondii (Peruvian cotton). RNAcentral's name for it is "long non-coding RNA (GRAI_LNC005394)". Lineage: Eukaryota; Viridiplantae; Streptophyta; Magnoliopsida; Malvales; Malvaceae. The record is from RNAcentral.